RNAcentral lists this transfer RNA (267 nucleotides) under uncultured bacterium. Its description in RNAcentral is "partial 16S-23S ribosomal RNA intergenic spacer". The stretch from base 153 to 225 matches the Rfam family "tRNA". The record is from RNAcentral.
AAGGAUGUCUUCACCAGCGGAUUGCGUGCAAUCUGCUACAGAAGACACUUAGCAGAGCCUAGUCAUAGGCUCACAACGCGGCCAGGCCGUCCUCAUAUCCCUUCACGUUACAGCGGAAUGCGAGCAGAGCAAUCUGUUCGGGCGUUCCUUGCGGGGCCUUAGCUCAGCUGGGAGAGCGCCUGAUUUGCAUUCAGGAGGUCAUCGGUUCGAUCCCGAUAGGCUCCACCAACCCUCUUCGCCUGAAGGCGGGGCGCGAGAAUGGGUCGG